Molecule: ribosomal RNA, 783 nt
Filed under: uncultured bacterium
Lineage: Bacteria
Description: bacterial SSU rRNA
Rfam family: Bacterial small subunit ribosomal RNA
Source: RNAcentral
AGUCGAGCGGCAGCGGGAAGUAGCUUGCUACUUUUGCCGGCGAGCGGCGGACGGGUGAGUAAUGCCUGGGAAUUACCCAGUCGAGGGGGAUAACAGUUGGAAACGACUGCUAAUACCGCAUACGCCCUACGGGGGAAAGCAGGGGACCUUCGGGCCUUGCGCGAUUGGAUAUGCCCAGGUGGGAUUAGCUAGUUGGUGAGGUAAUGGCUCACCAAGGCGACGAUCCCUAGCUGGUCUGAGAGGAUGAUCAGCCACACUGGAACUGAGACACGGUCCAGACUCCUACGGGAGGCAGCAGUGGGGAAUACUGCACAAUGGGGGAAACCCUGAUGCAGCCAUGCCGCGUGUGUGAAGAAGGCCUUCGGGUUGUAAAGCACUUUCAGCGAGGAGGAAAGGUCAGUAGCUAAUAUCUGCUGGCUGUGACGUUACUCGCGGAAGAAGCACCGGCUAACUCCGUGCCAGCAGCCACGGUAAUACGGAGGGUGCAAGCGUUAAUCGGAAUUACUGGGCGUAAAGCGCACGCAGGCGGUUGGAUAAGUUAGAUGUGAAAGCCCCGGGCUCAACCUGGGAAUUGCAUUUAAAACUGUCCAGCUAGAGUCUUGUAGAGGGGGGUAGAAUUCCAGGUGUAGCGGUGAAAUGCGUAGAGAUCUGGAGGAAUACCGGUGGCGAACGCGGCCCCCUGGACAAAGACUGACGCUCAGUGCGAAAGCGUGGGGAGCAACAGGAUUAGAUACCCUGUAGUCCACGCCGUAACGAUGUCGAUUUGGAGCUGUGUCCUUGAGA